UACGGAGGGGGCAAGCGUUGUUCGGAAUUACUGGGCGUAAAGGGCGCGCAGGCGGCUGCUCAAGUCAGGCGUGAAAGGCCUGGGCUCAACCCGGGAAUUGCGCUUGAGACUGGGCUGGCUUGAGUGCGGGAGAGGAUGGUGGAAUUUCCGGUGUAGCGGUGAAAUGCGUAGAUAUCGGAAGGAACAUCAGUGGCGAAAGCGGCUUCCUGGACCAGCACCGACGUUCAGGCACGAAAGCGUGGGGAGCAAACAGG
RNAcentral lists this ribosomal RNA (254 nucleotides) under uncultured bacterium. RNAcentral describes it as "partial 16S ribosomal RNA". It matches the Rfam family "Bacterial small subunit ribosomal RNA", at positions 524 to 776 of the family's 1533-position model. The record is from RNAcentral.